Molecule: long non-coding RNA, 1675 nt
Filed under: Strigops habroptila (Kakapo)
Lineage: Eukaryota; Metazoa; Chordata; Aves; Psittaciformes; Psittacidae
Description: lncRNA (ENSSHBG00005011346.1)
Source: RNAcentral
GGUCACAAAUGCAUAUUAUGAAUAGAAUUAAUAGUUAAGACAGAGUUGACAUCAGGAAAAUGUAAGUUAUAAAUGAAAUGGAGAAGCAUGGACAAGGUGUGUUUCCCUUGAAGCCCCUCUAAUUAAACUGUCAGAUUAAACCUUUCUCAUCAACAGUAGUUAAAAAAUGAGCACUUUACUCAGAACAUUAAAAUUAAAAUAUCCUUAUUUUCAUAUAUAUUUAUAUAUAAAUGUAGAUUUUCCAUGUAACAUGGAGAUGUGUGCAAUAGUGAGAAUAUGAGCAUAAGGCUGGAAGGCAAGCAAUAAACAAAGGUUUAUUUCAUGGUAUAAUUAUACAUUUUUAAAAUGUUUCAUGUGUAAAUUAUAAAUGAUCCCUUUAAUGUCACAUUGUCCAAGUAUGAAUAAGUAUAUAUAUGUACAUAUGUACAAACAAUUGUAAAUAUUAGAACUAUAGAAAAAUCCCUUCACUUUUAACUCUGUUUUUGGCAAAGGGCUCUAACUGUAUAGUUUAAUGGAGGCCCAUGCUAAACUGCUCUUGAACUUGAGUAGCUCGAUUAUGUUUUUUUAUGGCAGAGGUCUCCUUCCUGUGACCUAGUGAGAGUUCUUACCUUCUGUUUGCAUCAGCAAGAUGUAGGGAUUCUCCGACCCUCGCUGAACUGGGGUAUGAGAAACAGAGUGUCUUUAUGCAUUCAAGAUUUUUAAUGAUUACACUGAGUGAUUUCAUUCAUCUGAUAUUCAAAAAGAUGAGCUUCAACAGGUUGAAGUGUUAUAUUUGUUUUCGAGUACUUCAUCCAUCUAUCUAUGUUCUUGAGGAUGGAUGGAAAAACAGAAUGGAACAAGGUAUUGCUUUGAUCAACUGCUUUUGAUAUUCUUUAUUAAAUAUUUAUUUUGGCUGAAUUUAUCAGUUUAUAGGCUACUGUAGCCUACAAUUAGCACUGAAUGCAAUGUAGUACUUUACAUCUAUUAGCAUACAUAUGCACCGUAUCUAUAAACUGUUAAACAUCAGUUCCUAUACAGCAUCCAGUCACCCUCUCCCUUACAAAUAGUCACUUUAUUAGGAAACAUUUGAAGGCACUUUAAUUUUAAUGGAAGUGAUUACACUAAAUAUUGUUACAUACUUGACUUAAAAACUAGUGAAAGUAACAUGGAGUCUGAUUCAGACAUUGUUAGCAAUUUCUCAGCUGGGCUGGAGUCAGAGAGCAUUUAUUAAUUCUAUGACAAAUCUACUUUAGUGAGUCACUUAGGUGUGAAAAUGUAUAGGAGUUUGAAAAUACAUGCUUCUGGUAUAUUAACAAGAAAUAAGCAAAUGGGAAGAACGGAACCAAUAAUUUUAAAGGAAAUUAAACACCAAUCAAAUAUGCACAGUAAGAAACUGCAUGAUAAAUGUAAGUAUACUUAACCUUGAACAUCAAUGUCAUAUAAAAUCUUCUGGGUGACAGUUCACUUAUUUAGUAGGUUUCAUAGUUAUAAAUAAUUAAAGAGGAUGAUAAUGUGCUGUAAUUUGUGACCUUGUUUUAACUGGAAAAAAGUUAUUACUUUUCUAAAAUGUAAAAGAAAUAACUGGAUUUAAGUUUGAAUGUGUCACUGCUUGCUGUUGAAGAAUAUUUAUUAACCACAUGCAAAAUAUUGCUUAACAUUAUCUUUUUGUACUUCUUAUUAAAGUUAAUUUAAAUAU